GACGAACGCUUGCGGCGUGCUUAACACAUGCAAGUCGAACGGAAAGGCCCUGCUUUUGUGGGGUGCUCGAGUGGCGAACGGGUGAGUAACACGUGAGUAACCUGCCCUUGACUUUGGGAUAACUUCAGGAAACUGGGGCUAAUACCGGAUAGGAGCUCCUGCUGCAUGGUGGGGGUUGGAAAGUUUCGGCGGUUGGGGAUGGACUCGCGGCUUAUCAGCUUGUUGGUGGGGUAGUGGCUUACCAAGGCUUUGACGGGUAGCCGGCCUGAGAGGGUGACCGGCCACAUUGGGACUGAGAUACGGCCCAGACUCCUGCGGGAGGCAGCAGUGGGGAAUAUUGCACAAUGGGCGGAAGCCUGAUGCAGCAACGCCGCGUGCGGGAUGACGGCCUUCGGGUUGUAAACCGCUUCCGCCUGUGACGAAGCGUGAGUGACGGUAAUGGGUAAAGAAGCACCGGCUAACUACGUGCCAGCAGCCGCGGUGAUACGUAGGGUGCGAGCGUUGUCCGGAUUUAUUGGGCGUAAAGGGCUCGUAGGUGGUUGAUCGCGUCGGAAGUGUAAUCUUGGGGCUUAACCCUGAGCGUGCUUUCGAUACGGGUUGACUUGAGGAAGGUAGGGGAGAAUGGAAUUCCUGGUGGAGCGGUGGAAUGCGCAGAUAUCAGGAGGAACACCAGUGGCGAAGGCGGUUCUCUGGGCCUUUCCUGACGCUGAGGAGCGAAAGCGUGGGGAGCGAACAGGCUUAGAUACCCUGGUAGUCCACGCUGUAAACGGUGGGUACUAGGUGUGGGGUCCAUUCCACGGGUUCCGUGCCGUAGCUAACGCUUUAAGUACCCCGCCUGGGGAGUACGGCCGCAAGGCUAAAACUCAAGGGAAUUGACGGGGCCCCGCACAAGCGGCGGAGCAUGCGGAUUAAUUCGAUGCAACGCGUAGAACCUUACCUGGGUUUGACAUGGAUCGGGAGUGCUCAGAGAUGGGUGUGCCUCUUUUGGGGUCGGUUCACAGGUGGUGCAUGGCUGUCGUCAGCUCGUGUCGUGAGAUGUUGGGUUAAGUCCCGCAACGAGCGCAACCCUUGUUCACUGUUGCCAGCACGUUAUGGUGGGGACUCAGUGGAGACCGCCGGGGUCAACUCGGAGGAAGGUGGGGAUGACGUCAAGUCAUCAUGCCCCUUAUGUCCAGGGCUUCACGCAUGCUACAAUGGCUGGUACAGAGAGUGGCGAGCCUGUGAGGGUGAGCGAAUCUCGGAAAGCCGGUCUCAGUUCGGAUUGGGGUCUGCAACUCGACCUCAUGAAGUCGGAGUCGCUAGUAAUCGCAGAUCAGCAACGCUGCGGUGAAUACGUUCCCGGGGCU
This 1346-nucleotide ribosomal RNA is filed under the name uncultured bacterium. RNAcentral's name for it is "partial 16S ribosomal RNA". It matches the Rfam family "Bacterial small subunit ribosomal RNA", at positions 28 to 1381 of the family's 1533-position model. The record is from RNAcentral.